This 254-nucleotide ribosomal RNA is filed under the name uncultured bacterium. RNAcentral describes it as "partial 16S ribosomal RNA". It matches the Rfam family "Bacterial small subunit ribosomal RNA", at positions 524 to 776 of the family's 1533-position model. The record is from RNAcentral.
UACGUAGGGGGCUAGCGUUGUCCGGAUUUCUUGGGCGUAAAGAGCUCGUAGGCGGCUCGGUAAGUCGGAUGUGAAACCUCCAGGCUCAACCUGGAGACGCCAUCUGAUACUGCCGUGGCUUGAGUCCGGUAGAGGAGCAGGGAAUUCCUGGUGUAGCGGUGAAAUGCGCAGAUAUCAGGAGGAACACCAGCGGCGAAGGCGCUGCUCUGGGCCGGUACUGACGCUGAGGAGCGAAAGCGUGGGGAGCGAACAGG